AUGGGGAAGACAGAGCCAACACCGCCGAUGCCCACGGGCCACUUCAGUCAGGUGCCUUCCAUACUUCCUCCUUCAGGAUUUUCAAUCCAAGGUGGGCGGAUUACUAAAAUUGUAGCCAGUCCAUACUACAUGCUCCCAGAGGUAUUAAAGCACAAUUAUGGCCCUGAAAUCAAUGUCUGGAUUGUAGGAGUUAUACUUUACAUAGUUCUUUGUGGUGUGCAAACAUUUUUGGAAGAUUCUGAACAGGGAGUAGCACAAGCAAUUAUGUGCUCUGUGGUAGAUUUCAAAAGAGACCCAAGGCCCGGAGUAUCUGAGCCUGCUAAAGACUUUGUUCGACAGACGCUAGAUCCAGAUCCAAUCACACGGUUUACUACAACACACGUACUCAGUGAGCGUUAG
This 399-nucleotide ribosomal RNA is filed under the name Triticum aestivum (bread wheat). Its description in RNAcentral is "partial small subunit ribosomal RNA". The record is from RNAcentral. Lineage: Eukaryota; Viridiplantae; Streptophyta; Magnoliopsida; Poales; Poaceae.